CACGCCAUAAACGAUGAAUACUAGGUGUAGGGGGUAUAGACUCCCUCUGUGCCGCAGUUAACGCAUUAAGUAAUCCACCUGGGGAGUACGGCCGCAAGGUUAAAACUCAAAGGAAUUGACGGGGGCCCGCACAAGCAGUGGAGUAUGUGGUUUAAUUCGAAGCAACGCGAAGAACCUUACCAGGGCUUGACAUCCUCGGACGACACUAGAGAUAGUGUUUUCUCUUCGGAGACUGAGAGACAGGUGG
Molecule: ribosomal RNA, 247 nt
Filed under: uncultured Eubacteriales bacterium
Lineage: Bacteria; Bacillati; Bacillota; Clostridia; Eubacteriales
Description: uncultured Clostridiales bacterium partial 16S ribosomal RNA
Rfam family: Bacterial small subunit ribosomal RNA
Source: RNAcentral